Molecule: ribosomal RNA, 519 nt
Filed under: uncultured bacterium
Lineage: Bacteria
Description: bacterial SSU rRNA
Rfam family: Bacterial small subunit ribosomal RNA
Source: RNAcentral
UCGAGGACGAGCGCUGGCGGCGUGCCUAAUACAUGCAAGUCGAACGGUCUUUCUAUGAAGCUUGCUUCCACUGAGAAGAUAGUGGCGAACGGGUGAGUAACACGUGGGUAACCUGCCCAUAAGAGGGGGAUAACAUCCGGAAACGGUGCUAAUACCGCAUAGUUUUCUGAUCGCAUGAUUGAGAAAGGAAAGACGGCCUUUGUGCUGUCGCUUAUGGAUGGACCCGCGGCGUAUUAGUUAGUUGGUGAGGUAACGGCUCACCAAGACGAUGAUACGUAGCCGACCUGAGAGGGUGAUCGGCCACAUUGGGACUGAGACACGGCCCAAACUCCUACGGGAGGCAGCAGUAGGGAAUCUUCCGCAAUGGACGAAAGUCUGACGGAGCAACGCCGCGUGAGUGAAAGAAGGUUUUCGGAUCGUAAAACUCUGUUGUCAGAGAAGAACAAGUUGGAGAGUAACUGCUCCAGCCUUGACGGUAUCUGACCAGAAAGCCACGGCUAACUACGUGCCAGCCGCCGC